This 253-nucleotide ribosomal RNA is filed under the name uncultured bacterium. Its description in RNAcentral is "partial 16S ribosomal RNA". It matches the Rfam family "Bacterial small subunit ribosomal RNA", at positions 524 to 776 of the family's 1533-position model. The record is from RNAcentral.
UACGUAGGGUGCAAGCGUUGUUCGGAAUCAUUGGGCGUAAAGCGCGUGUAGGUGGUUAGGUAAGUCGGGUGUGAAAUGCCUGGGCUCAACCGAGGAAGUGCAUCCGAGACUAUCUAGCUGGAGGAUGGCAGAGGAAGGUGGAAUUCCUAGUGUAGAGGUGAAAUUCGUAGAUAUUAGGAGGAAUACCGGCGGCGAAGGCGGCCUUCUGGGCCAUUCCUGACACUGAGACGCGAAAGCGUGGGGAGCAAACAGG